Molecule: ribosomal RNA, 495 nt
Filed under: uncultured bacterium
Lineage: Bacteria
Description: bacterial SSU rRNA
Rfam family: Bacterial small subunit ribosomal RNA
Source: RNAcentral
ACGAACGCUGGCGGCGUGCCUAAUACAUGCAAGUCGAGCGAAUCGAUGGGAGCUUGCUCCCUGAGGUUAGCGGCGGACGGGUGAGUAACACGUGGGUAACCUGCCUGUAAGACUGGGAUAACUCCGGGAAACCGGGGCUAAUACCGGAUAACAUCUAGAAUCGCAUGAUUCUAGAUUAAAAGAUGGUUUCGGCUAUCACUUACAGAUGGACCCGCGGCGCAUUAGCUAGUUGGUGAGGUAACGGCUCACCAAGGCAACGAUGCGUAGCCGACCUGAGAGGGUGAUCGGCCACACUGGGACUGAGACACGGCCCAGACUCCUACGGGAGGCAGCAGUAGGGAAUCUUCGGCAAUGGGCGAAAGCCUGACCGAGCAACGCCGCGUGAGCGAUGAAGGCCUUCGGGUCGUAAAGCUCUGUUGUUAAGGAAGAACAAGUACGAGAGUAACUGCUCGUACCUUGACGGUACUUAACGAGAAAGCCACGGCUAACUACGUG